AUAUAUAUCUUUCACCUAUGUAACUAGUAAACAAUCAAAUAAUAAUAACCAGCAUAAUCUUCAUACAUUAAAUACAUGGAACUUCUUGGAAAUGAGUUUUUAAUUUUUUUUUUUUAAGGGUUUGGGGUGUUUUGGAAUUAUGGUAAAGUGGUAAUGGUAUUUUUGGAAGUUACUAAGAGAAAACAGGAAUGGGAAUCGUAUCGACUACUCCCCCCUAGUUGAUCUGAUACCUAAUUUUGAGGGGAUGUAAUUACAGAUUUUGAGGUGGGGCCCACUUAUUUUUUCAUUCAUAAUUGCAAGUAAACGCAGGGGAAGUCGGGAAUGGAAAUCAUUCCCUUUCCU
This 342-nucleotide long non-coding RNA is filed under the name Prunus persica (peach). Its description in RNAcentral is "long non-coding RNA (PPER_LNC003215)". Lineage: Eukaryota; Viridiplantae; Streptophyta; Magnoliopsida; Rosales; Rosaceae. The record is from RNAcentral.